AUUGAACGCUGGCGGCAUGCCUUACACAUGCAAGUCGAACGGCAGCAUGGAGAGCUUGCUCUCUGCUGGCGAGUGGCGAACGGGUGAGUAAAGCAUCUGAACGUACCGUGUAGUGGGGGAUAACGUAGCGAAAGUUACGCUAAUACCGCAUACGCACUGAGGUGGAAAGCAGGGGAUCGUAAGACCUUGCGCUAUACGAGCGGCCGAUGUCAGAUUAGCUAGUUGGUAGGGUAAAGGCCUACCAAGGCGACGAUCUGUAGCGGGUCUGAGAGGAUGAUCCGCCACACUGGGACUGAGACACGGCCAAGACUCCUACGGGAGGCAGCAGUGGGGAAUUUUGGACAAUGGGGGCAACCCUGAUCCAGCCAUGCCGCGUGAGUGAAGAAGGCCUUCGGGUUGUAAAGAUCUUUCGGCCGGGAAGAAAUCGCACAGGCUAAUACCCUGUGUGGAUGACGGUACCGGCAUAAGAAGCACCGGCUAACUACGUG
Molecule: ribosomal RNA, 488 nt
Filed under: uncultured bacterium
Lineage: Bacteria
Description: partial 16S ribosomal RNA
Rfam family: Bacterial small subunit ribosomal RNA
Source: RNAcentral